Molecule: long non-coding RNA, 8431 nt
Filed under: Vitis vinifera (wine grape)
Lineage: Eukaryota; Viridiplantae; Streptophyta; Magnoliopsida; Vitales; Vitaceae
Description: long non-coding RNA (VVIN_LNC005507)
Source: RNAcentral
CCUUCUUUGUGCAGUUUUUUUGUAAGAGGAGCUCCACAAAGUUCAUCAUUGCCAAUGAAGCUAAGUGCAUCAAAGCUUUGAAGCUGACUGCUUGAAGGUAUUGUUCGUGAUAAAUUGUUGUAAGACAGGUCCAAAUGAUCAAGGAAUGAUAAAUUUGUCAUGCUUUCAGGAAUUGCACCUGAAAGAUGGUUUCUUGACAAAUCCAAAGAUUCCAAGGUUUCCAUGCUCCCAACUUUUUCUGGUAUCCUUCCAAUUAAAUGAUUUUGAGACAAGUUCAAAAACCGCAACCCUGAGAGACAUGAGAUUUCAGUAGGGAUUGAUCCUGACAAAUUGUUACUCGAAAAGUCAAUUGUCCUCACCAGUCCAAGAAUACUGUCAUACUCUGAUUUCCUCCCUUUAACCACUAAGGAAAGAUCCUCGUACUUCAAGUAAUUGUAAUCAAACAAAACUUUGAAGUUAUCAUCAACUGCAGUGUCCAUUCUUGCCAUUGUACUAAAAUUGUUUAUGCAAUUUGGUAUGGCUCCUGAUAAUGUAUUAUUAGCAAGAUCCAACACUAUAAGAGAAGAAAGUUGGCAUAUUUGUGGAGGAAUGUUGCCAAUGAAUUUAUUGGAUCUUAAAGAGAGAGCCAUUAGAGUGGACAUUUCCCCUAUCCAACUUGGUAUAUUCCCUGAGAAUUUAUUUUCAGCUAAAUCCACAAGGCCCAAAAAUGCACAGUUUUGCAGUGAUACUGGUAUAUCUCUGACGAAGCUAUUAGUGUACAAAUGCAAUGCUUUGAGAGCAAAUAAAGAGCCUAUGGAGUUGGGAAUUUUACCAGAUAGAUUGUUGUCUCCAAGGUUCAAAUGAGUCAGAGAUGGCCAAUACAUCAAACAAUUCAAAAGUUUCCCUGACAAUGAGUUAUUUGAUAAAUUGAGGACCUCCAAUUUACUUCCUCCAUUAACCUUUCUGCACAAGAAAGAGGAAAUCCGUCUUGGAAAUGGAUUGUUGGCAAUUCUCAACUCGAUAACGUUCUGUGAUAAAUGUGGUAACUGGCCUGUGAAACAAUUAGAACUCAGAUCGACCUGAGUAUUAUUCAGCAGAACUUCAGAUAAAUCCCCAGAUAUCUGGUUAUCAGAGAGAUGCAGGACAUGUGGAAUUUGUGAAGCCCACUUCCACAACCAGCUAGGAGCAGCGUCCACAAUUCCUGAGUUGGAGAUGUAUAGACUCUGAAGAGAUCUUUGUGUUUGCAGCCAUGCUGGAAACUUAGGGCCCAUCUUGCAAGAAAUAAUCUUCAUAUAUUGAAGUUGAAAAGGAGGAAUCCAAUUUGAGCUCACAUUGAAUGUUAGAUACGUCCAAGACAUCUCUAAGUACUUCAAGUUUGAGAGUUUGGUAAAAUGUACUUCUGAUACAAUUCCUGCCAAAAGGUUUCUUCCUAAAAUUGUAGAAAAAGGACUACAAAUGCAUCAACACUCAAUUCAUUUUCAUGGCAGCAGUGCCUAAAAGAGAUUAUUAAUUAAUAUCGUAACACAACAGCAAUAACAUAUAUAGAAACUUCAACACAAAAGAUAAUUACAGCAAUGCGAAAUUAAUAUUACCACUUUGAAUACUAUAAAGUGCUCUUUGGCCAUGCCAUUGAAGUUGUUGAAACAUGUGAGUAUGAUACACUCCCUUGGAGAUCAUCCUGAAACGAAUUUGAAAAUAAGAGUAAGAGGCAAUAGAUUUGGAAAACAUGUCAGUAUAUGAUUUGAAAAUAAGGGUAAUCAUAUAUCUUUUCCUUACCAGCAUGGUAUCUUCUCAACUUUUGGUGGAACCACUUCAGUUUUAUUGGUAUAGCCACAUAGGCCCGGUCCCUGAUGUCAUAAAGAAACUGGAAAUAAGCAUACCUCCAUGCUCUCUUGAAAAAGAGAGCUCCACAAACUCCCCAAAACCCCACAAUGAAUCCUGAUCCCAUGCCAAUGUAAAACCAUGAGAUUUCUGGAAAUUCUCUGUUUUCUUCUACAGCAGUGGGACCUAGAGUCUCUUCAUCUUUUGUGCAGUUUUUCAUAAGAGGGGCUCCACACAGUUCAGGAUUGCCAAAGAAAGAAAGUGGAUCCAAGCUUUGAAGCUGGGUGCUUGAAGGAAUUCUCCCAGAAAAGUUGUUGAAUGACAGGUCCAGGUAAUCAAGAAAUGUUAAAUUGCUCAUGCUCUGAGGAAUUUCACCUGAAAGAUGAUUUCUCGAGAGAUCUAGAGAUUCUAAUGAUGCCAUCACCCCAAUUUUCUCUGGUAUCCUCCCCAUUAAAUGAUUUCGAGAGAAGUUUAGAAAUAGCAGGCCAAAAAGACUUGAGAUUUCAAUUGGGAUUGAUCCAGAUAAAUUGUUACUUGAAAGGUCAAUCAUCCUCACAUAUUUAAGAAUCUUUUCGUACUUUGAUUCCCUCCCCUUUAUAUCUAAAACAAGACUUUCCAUGUAAGAUUCAUCAUAAAAAUGAUAGCCUACUUCCAAAGCAUCAUACCCAAUAUAAUAAUUAGGUCCUGCAGCCAUAGCACUGAUAUUAUUCAAGCACUUGGGUAUUGAUCCUGACAGACUAUUAUCAGCAAGAUCCAACACUAUAAGAGAAGAAAGUUGGCAUAUUUGUGGAGGAAUAAUGCCCGUUGAAUUUAUUGGAUCUUAAAUGGAUAACCAUUAGAGUUGUCCUCUCAAAAAUCCACCUGGGUAUAAUCCCCGAAAAUUUAUUGUCACUUAGAUUUAUCAGCCCCAAAACCUUGCAAUUCUCUAGUGAUGAGGGUAUUUCUCCAUAGAAUGAAUUGUUUUGCAAGCUCAAUGCUUUAAGUCCGACCAAAGAACCCAUGGAAUUAGGAAUUUUACCAGAUAGAUUGUUGCUUCCCAGGCUUACAUGAGUAAGAGACGACCAAUGCAUCCAACAAUCAGAAAGUUCCCCUGAUAAAGCAUUAAUUGAUAUGUCAACGACCUCCAAUUUACUUCUUCCAUUCAUCUUUUGGCACAUGAAAGGGGAAAUCUGUCCCGAGAAUGAAUUGUUAGCAAUAUUCAACACAACAACAUUCGGAGACAGACGUGGCAACCGACCUGAGAAGCAGUUAGAACUCAAAUCAAUGAUAGUAUUAUUUAGUACAACUUGGGAUAAGUCCCCAGAUAUCUGGUUGUUAGAGAGAUGGAUCUGUUCGAUGUAUGAAGCGAACUUCCAGAACCAGUUUGGAGCUGUGUCCACAAUUCCAGACCUGGAGACGUCUAGACAGAAAAGAGACUUUUGUGUCUGUAGCCACGCAGGAAAUUUUGGACCCAUUUUACAGGAAUCCGCCUCCAGAUACUCUAGUUGGAAUGGAGGAGUCCAACUGGAGUUCACAUGGAAAGAUAAAGAUGUUCCAGAUAUCAAUAAGUCCUUCAAUUUUGAGAGUGCUGUAAAAUGUACUUCUGAUAUGGUCCCUGUUAAGGAAGUCCCUCGUACAUUUAAAUUCUCCAAAUUGGAUAGAAACCACAGACUCAUUGGAAGAGUGCCAUUAAUCAACUGAUUUUCAGAAAGACCCAAAGACCUCAAGGAUGAUAAGUUUCCUAUGGAUGUAGGAAUAGGGCCAUGAAAGGAAUUGAAAGAAACAUCGAGAUAUUCUAGAUAUUUGAGUUGUCCUAAAGACUCUGAAAUUUGCCCCUUGAAUUGAUUGUCUAAUAGACUUAGAGACACAAGACUACUGAGAUUAAACAACCAAUUUGGUAUUUCUUGAUUGAAAUUGUUCUCAGAAAGAUCAAGAAAUGUGAGAGAUGUGAAAUUGGCAUACCCGAAAGAUGAAGUUUUAUUGCUAUUAAGUUCACAAUCGGACAAGUGCAGCUCUGAAAGAGAAGGGAACAUAGACACGGAUUCAAGCCAAUGGACUUCCCUGUGAAGGUCAACCCCAUUCAUGCCUAGGUACUUCAAAAAAGCAAGAUGAGAAAUCCAACCAAGAUUCUCAACGUACAACCCAUUGUUAUAUCCCAGAUCCAGGUGACGAAGAGUCGAGAGAUUUCCAAGCUGAUGAGGGACUAGUCCACCAAAUCCAACAGAGGUGAGGUCAAGAUAUCUCAAACUCCCCAUGGAACCCAGGAAACUUGGAAUUGGACUACCUCCAAAAUCAUUCCAACUCAAGUUCAAGUAACUCAAAAAUUCUAAUUCAAGCAAAGCAGGGCUAAUUUCACCACCCAAUCUAUAGAAUUCAUAAUCAUCCGCGUCAUAUGGAUUACCGAGAUGGAGCUCAACCACUCGCCCUGUAACGUUGUUGCAGCGAACUGCUUCCCAUCUACAACAAUCUUGAUUGACAGACCAAGAUGAGAGCCGGUUGCCAGGAUUAGAGAGAGCUUUCUUGAAUCUUAGAAGGGCAUGUUUCUCUUUUUCAUUGCAAACCAAAGUGUUUGGGUCACAUAAGAUUGAGAUGGUGGAGGAGAGAAAGCAAAGCAAGGGAAACAAAAUGAUGGGUCUGGAGUUUCUCAUGGUUGCUUAAUUACAAACUAGAGUGAGAAUGAGAGUGUGAGUAUUUGAAAGAAGAAAAGGGACAUAUAUAAUAUAACUCAAGGGCUCCUUUUUAUGGUUACAAGCUCAUGUUUUCUGCAGUCAAAAUCCCAGAGGUAACACAAAAAAAAUCAGUUUUUUUCUGUUUACCAAUAUGUACUACUUCAUCGAAAAUGAUUUUCCAUAUUUUGCUAAUCCAAUAUGUACCUUUUUAAGUGUUUUGUCUCCAAGUUGCAAGACAUUGGGUCAAUGGCUAGGUUUUCUUAUCAAUUUCUUUGAUGCAUUUUGCAUUCUCGGAGAUAUAAAUGUUAAAAAUAUUAUAUAUAUAUAUAUAUAUAUAUUUACAUUCUCUUUCUUUCUAUUGUCCUCUCCAUUUCCUUUCUAUCUCAUUCUCCUUCAAAUUUUACAAAAACCAAACUUAGUGUAAAGUUGAUCAACUGUCUCCAAAAUCUUCACUAUCAUCCAAAUACAAAGACUUAUAAUCUAAGUAAACAAAGACUUAUAGUCCAAUAGUCCAAGUAAACAAAGACUUAUAGUCCAAGUAAAUGCAUGGGGACAAAUUUUUCACAACAUCCAUAAAAUGACUUAUGCUAUGGGAGAAACUAGGAUCCAAAAUUCAAGAAUUUAAUGUCAUACAAUCAAUGUUUAAAACAAGUAGGCAACCUUUUGAGUUCAUAUAAUUGAUUACUUGAAAGCUAUGGUUUCCUAACAUAGAAUGACAAUUUCUUUCCCUCCCAUUCUCCUUCAAAUUUUCCAAAAUCCAAACUUAGUUUAAAGUUAAUAAAUUGAACCCAAAGUUUUCACUUUUAUCAAAUAUUAGGACUUAUAGUCCACGGUGAAGGCAUGGAAACAAACUUCCCAAGGCCUUGAUAAAGAUGACUUAUGUCAAGAAAGAAAUUGGGAUCCAAAAUACAAGAAUUUAAUGUCAUAUAAUCGACGUUUUCCAAUAUGCUCAAUUUCAUAGAAAAUGAUUUUUCUCCAAUGUUUUAUUCAUCCAUUCCAUCAUAUAGGAGUCAUAGAUAGAUACCAGGAAUGACUUUUCAAGUGUUUUCCUCCAAGUUGCAUGAGGCAAGGUCAAUGGUUGGGUCUUCAUAUCAAUGACAUUGAUGCAUUUUUGCAUUCUCCAUGACAUAAAUGUGAGAAAAAAAAAAGCUAAGAGUCCUUUCCAUUUGUUUAAAUUCGGACAUCCACUCAAAGAGAUUAAUAAAGUUAAUCAAUUAAUCUGAAAGUCUUGACUAACAUUCAAAUGUGCGGACUUAGACCACAAGGCAAAUGCAUGGAAACAAACUUUUAAGACUUGUGAAGAUCUCUCUUUAGUAAUUCAAUAGUUUGAUAGCUGAAAAAGAUUUCAUUUGCCUUGAAAAGCUUGUGAUCUUCCAAAAGUCCUAAUUAUAUAAACAUUUCAAUGGCAAUGAGGUUAAAGCACCACUAUUUUAGUUUCCCCAUUUUGCUGUCAUUGCUCUAUUCCAAGCAAAUCUUAGUGAUCAUUAUGGUUUGGAAACUUCUAAAUGGUUGUUUUAUAAGUUAAAAUAACUGCAAAUGAUAUCUAUGAAAAGAUCCGAAAUCUUAUUUUAUUUUAUUUUUGUAUGGUUAAAUCAAGAGAAUAUUAUAAAAAAAGAAACGUUAAUAGAGUGCCUGAAAUUAUAUAGGAAGUAUAUCGUGGACGCCUAAAAACACCACCAAAAGGAAAGAGGGGUAACAAAAAACAAGACCCCCCACUAAGAGCUCAAUCAAUCAAUAAAAAAAAAAAUCUAUUAUACAAAGAGGACCAAAAACUAUGAAAAAAACUUAGGCCAAUCCCAUAGAUUACAAAGAAAAGAGUGUUUCAACCCUUAAACAAAAUGCUCUUGAUUUUCUAAUGAUCUACCAUUUCUUUCCUUUCAAAUUGUCUAAAAUAAACAUAAAGGAGUAAUUCACCACUCUUUUUUUUUUCCCCCAUUUUUUUACCCAUGAAAGAGUCAUGUCAUCGCAAUAGUGUUUCUUUGGCCAAAGAGGGAAGCACCUAAGAUAUGCCAAAUAAGGAAAACAAUAAAAGCCAUAAAGUCUUUGUGUUAACAUAAUGAAUAUUGAUGUAACUAAUGGAUUCUUCCUUUAAAUGAUAAAGGAAACAUCUGUUUGCCAAAAAUCACUCUCUCCUCUAUAAAUGAUCCAAGGUUAAAAUCUUUUCCCAAAUAGUUGUCUUUAAAUAAAAAAACCACUUAUUAAAUUGUAGAAAUCACCCAAAAGGGGAUUUGAAUGGGGUGUUAGAAGUUUUUUCAAAACAAUCAACCAAAAGCUAAAAGGAUGAGAAAUGAAGAACAAAACAACAAUAAUAAAAAGAGAAAUGCAAACUUUUUUUAUAGUGACUUGAUAAGCCGCCUACAUCCACUCUCGUCUAACUUCUAAUUGAAUAAGGGUAUCUUCAAGACUUUUAUAGCCAAAUUCUCCAUACUUCUAACAUUUGGAUUUUAAGGUUCCAAUUGACGUUCACAAACUCUUUAAGUACUUAACCUAUUUGAAAACUUUUCUCUCACAAGGAGAAGGUAAGAAAAUAUUAACAAACUCCAAACCUAGUAGCAAGUUAAGCUCAAAAUACAAGUAGAAGUUAGGAUGGAUUUGAAGGUAGACAAAAAGAAUUGUAAGUGAGAAAUCAAUGCACCUUGAUGAAGACCUUUUAAUGAGAGAAAGAAUAUUUUUUCAAUUGAAUGUGGAUGUUCUCUUAUCAAUAAAUACUUUAAAACUCUCUAAUUUGUAGCUUUCUAGCUUGAGGACCCCAAAAGCCAUAGAAAGGCGUUAACCGAUUAAGCAACUUAAACGAAUGGUUAAUAAAAAACAAGGAUUCAUCCAUUUCUUUGAUAAAAAAAAUAUUGUUUUAAGCUGAAGUAUGAAAAUAAACUUUUAAGUGUAUAAAAAAUAACUUAAACUUAAGUGCAUCGACAAAUACCAUCUUAAAAUAUAUCAUUGGUUACUUCACAUUUUUUUUAUUUGUUUCACUAGAUUACAUACAUUCAUGUAAACUUCUUCAUAAUUUCUUUUGCAUACCCUUCUUGAGAAAUAAAAAUACCAUUUUUUGUUUGAUUCACUUCUAUGCCAAGAUAGUACGACAUGAGACCAAGGUCAAUCAUCUCAAACUAGCGAGCCAUUAAUAUUUUGAACUCAUAAAACAUGGUAGGCUUGUUUCCAAUGAAGAUUAAGUCAUCCACAUGGUUGGCUUGUUACCAUUAUUUCUUUGAACUCAUAAAACAUGGUUGGCCUGAAAGUCUAGACUACCAUCUGAAUACAUGGACUUUGUCCAUUGAUGAUGAACACAUCCAGAAACUUUCAAGACUUGUGACAUCUCACUUGACUUCAGUAAUUUGAUAUUUGAAAGAGAUUUUUCUUAGACUUGCAAAGCUUCCGGUCCUCCCAAGUUCCAAUUGUAUGAACAGUUCGAUGGUCGCGGGCCUGUGGCAUCAGGCACCUCAAACCUCAAUAAUUCUAUGACUCACUGUGAGACACCGCAGUAGACUAACAUAGUUUCAUGAUCAGCAGUCAGACAUUCUUCCAGUUACUGGCUCUUUUAUUAAUUGAAAAUUGGUGUCAAAUAAUAUAGCUGAAAUGACUGAAAAUUACAUCCACAAAAACAUAUGAAUCUUCAAUUCAUUAUGAUAUAACAACAAUCAGCAACACCUAUUUUUAUGACAUAACAUCAAAUGACAUAGUAGAAAGUAUACUAUAAAGAACAGCAUUAAUGAAGUCUUCUCUGCUUUCUUCAAUGUGGUUCACACCUUGAAAAUCUUCCUUCUUUGUGCAGUUUUUUGUAAGAGGAGCUCCACAAAGUUCAUCAUUGCCAAUGAAGCUAUGUGCGUCAAAGCUUUGAAGCUGAGUGCUUGAAGGUAUUGUUCCUAAUAAAUUGUUGUAAGACAGGUCCAAAUGAUCAAGGAAUGAUAAAUUUGUCAUGCUUUCAGGAAUUGCACCUGAAAGAUGGUUUCUUGACAAAUCCAAAGAUUCCAAGGUUUCCAUGCUCC